This 440-nucleotide ribosomal RNA is filed under the name uncultured bacterium. Its description in RNAcentral is "partial 16S ribosomal RNA". It matches the Rfam family "Bacterial small subunit ribosomal RNA", at positions 338 to 795 of the family's 1533-position model. The record is from RNAcentral.
CCUACGGGAUGCAGCAGUAGGGGAUAUUGCACAAUGUGGGAAACCCUGAAGCAGCAACGCCGCGUGGAGGAUGAAGGGUCUCGGAUUGUAAACUCCUUUCGUUAGAGAAGAUAAUGACGGUAUCUAACGAAUAAGCACCGGCUAACUCCGUGCCAGCAGCCGCGGUAAUACGUAGGGUGCAAGCGUUACUCGGAAUCACUGGGCGUAAAGAGCGCGGCGGCGGGAUAGCAAGUCAGAUGUGAAAUCCUAUGGCUUAACCAUAGAACUGCAUUUGAAACUGGUAUUCUAGAGUAUGGGAGAGGUAGGUGGAAUUCUUGGGGUAGGGGUAAAAUCCGUAGAGAUCAAGAGGAAUCCUCAUUGCGAAGGCGACCUACCAGAACCUCACUGACGCUGAUGCGCGAAAGCGUGGGGAGCGAACAGGAUUAGAUACCCUUGUAGUC